AAUGAACGUUGGCGGCAUGGAUUAGGCAUGCAAGUCGGGGGAAUCCCAGCAAGGGGGGAACCGGCGUAAGGGGCAGUAAGGCAUGGGUACCUACCUUGGGGUUCGGGAUAGCCAUCAGAGAUGGUGGGUAAUACCGGAUGACGUCGUGAGACCAAAGAUUUAUCGCCCUUAGAGGGGCCCAUGUGAUAUUAGCUAGUUGGUGGGGUAACGGCCCACCAAGGCGAAGAUGUCUAGCGGGUGUGAGAGCACGACCCGCGCCACUCGCACUGAGACACUGGCGAGACACCUACGGGUGGCUGCAGUCGGGGAUCUUCGGCAAUGAGCGCAAGCUUGACCGAGCGAUGCCGCGUGAGCGAUGAAGGCCUUCGGGUUGUAAAGCUCUUUAGUGGGGGAGAAAAGCCGCAAGGUGUGAUCUAUCCCAAAAAUAAGCACGGGCUAAGUUCGUGCCAGCAGCCGCCGUAA
This 462-nucleotide ribosomal RNA is filed under the name uncultured bacterium. Its description in RNAcentral is "partial 16S ribosomal RNA". It matches the Rfam family "Bacterial small subunit ribosomal RNA", at positions 29 to 523 of the family's 1533-position model. The record is from RNAcentral.